Molecule: ribosomal RNA, 396 nt
Filed under: Triticum aestivum (bread wheat)
Lineage: Eukaryota; Viridiplantae; Streptophyta; Magnoliopsida; Poales; Poaceae
Description: partial small subunit ribosomal RNA
Source: RNAcentral
CAACUCACGCCGCCUGGAACACCUCAGCGUAAUGGUGUGUCCGAACGUCGUAAUCGCACUCUAUUGGAUAUGGUGCGAUCUAUGAUGUCUCUUACCGAUCUACCACUAUCAUUUUGGGGUUAUGCUAUAGAGAGUGCCGCAUUCAUUUUAAAUAGGGCUCCGUCGAAAUCCGUUGAGGCGACACUGUAUGAAUUGUGGUUUGGGAAGAAACCUAAGCUGUCGUUUCUGAAAGUUUGGGGAUGUGACGCUUAUGUCAAGAAACUUCAACCUGAAAAGCUCGAACCCAAAUCGGAAAAAUGCGUCUUCAUAGGAUACCCUAAGGAAACUAUUGGGUAUACCUUCUACCUCAGAUCCGAAGGCAAGAUCUUUGUUUCCAAGAAUGGAUCCUUCCUAGAG